This is a non-coding RNA of Triticum urartu, 115 nucleotides long. Lineage: Eukaryota; Viridiplantae; Streptophyta; Magnoliopsida; Poales; Poaceae. The record is from Rfam.
CUUGUACUCCCUCCGUCCGAAAAUACUUGUCAUUGAAAUGGAUGUAUCUAGAUGUAUUUUAGUUCUAGACACAUCCAUUUUGAUGAAAAGUAAUUCCGGACGGAGGGAGUACUUG